RNAcentral lists this ribosomal RNA (138 nucleotides) under uncultured eukaryote. RNAcentral describes it as "partial 18S ribosomal RNA". It matches the Rfam family "Eukaryotic small subunit ribosomal RNA", at positions 1299 to 1458 of the family's 1831-position model. The record is from RNAcentral.
UGGUGGAGUGAUUUGUCUGGUUAAUUCCGUUAACGAACGAGACCUCGACCUGCUAAAUAGUUCCCGCCAGUCUAACUGGAGGGAUACUUCUUAGAGGGACUAUCGGUGUGUAGCCGAUGGAAGUUCGAGGCAAUAACA